This 243-nucleotide ribosomal RNA is filed under the name unidentified eubacterium 96R6. Its description in RNAcentral is "partial 16S ribosomal RNA". The record is from RNAcentral.
CGCGGGAUUUGCCUGACUGAGGAAACCUUGUUACAACUUCACCCCAGUCACGAACCCUGUCGUGGUAAUCGCCCUCCUUGCGGNUAGGNUAACUACUUCUGGCAGAACCCGCUCCCAUGGUGUGACGGGCGGUGUGUACAAGACCCGGGAACGUAUUCACCGCGGCAAGCUGAUCCGCGAUUACUAGCGAUUCCGACUUCACGCAGNCGAGUUGNAGACUGCGAUCCGGACUACGACCGGUUU